GACGAACGUUGGCGGCGUGCUUAACACAUGCAAGUCGAACGGAAAGGCCCUGCUUUUGUGGGGUGCUCGAGUGGCGAACGGGUGAGUAACACGUGAGUAACCUGCCCUUGACUUUGGGAUAACUUCAGGAAACUGGGGCUAAUACCGGAUAGGAGCUCCUGCUGCAUGGUGGGGGUUGGAAAGUUUCGGCGGUUGGGGAUGGACUCGCGGCUUAUCAGCUUGUUGGUGGGGUAGUGGCUUACCAAGGCUUUGACGGGUAGCCGGCCUGAGAGGGUGACCGGCCACAUUGGGACUGAGAUACGGCCCAGACUCCUACGGGAGGCAGCAGUGGGGAAUAUUGCACAAUGGGCGGAAGCCUGAUGCAGCAACGCCGCGUGCGGGAUGACGGCCUUCGGGUUGUAAACCGCUUUCGCCUGUGACGAAGCGUGAGUGACGGUAAUGGGUAAAGAAGCACCGGCUAACUACGUGCCAGCAGCCGCGGUGAUACGUAGGGUGCGAGCGUUGUCCGGAUUUAUUGGGCGUAAAGGGCUCGUAGGUGGUUGAUCGCGUCGGAAGUGUAAUCUUGGGGCUUAACCCUGAGCGUGCUUUCGAUACGGGUUGACUUGAGGAAGGUAGGGGAGAAUGGAAUUCCUGGUGGAGCGGUGGAAUGCGCAGAUAUCAGGAGGAACACCAGUGGCGAAGGCGGUUCUCUGGGCCUUUCCUGACGCUGAGGAGCGAAAGCGUGGGGAGCGAACAGGCUUAGAUACCCUGGUAGUCCACGCUGUAAACGGUGGGUACUAGGUGUGGGGUCCAUUCCACGGGUUCCGUGCCGUAGCUAACGCUUUAAGUACCCCGCCUGGGGAGUACGGCCGCAAGGCUAAAACUCAAAGGAAUUGACGGGGCCCCGCACAAGCGGCGGAGCAUGCGGAUUAAUUCGAUGCAACGCGUAGAACCUUACCUGGGUUUGACAUGGAUCGGGAGUGCUCAGAGAUGGGUGUGCCUCUUUUGGGGUCGGUUCACAGGUGGUGCAUGCCUGUCGUCAGCUCGUGUCGUGAGAUGUUGGGUUAAGUCCCGCAACGAGCGCAACCCUUGUUCACUGUUGCCAGCACGUUAUGGUGGGGACUCAGUGGAGACCGCCGGGGUCAACUCGGAGGAAGGUGGGGAUGACGUCAAGUCAUCAUGCCCCUUAUGUCCAGGGCUUCACGCAUGCUACAAUGGCUGGUACAGAGAGUGGCGAGCCUGUGAGGGUGAGCGAGUCUCGGAAAGCCGGUCUCAGUUCGGAUUGGGGUCUGCAACUCGACCUCAUGAAGUCGGAGUCGCUAGUAAUCGCAGAUCAGCAACGCUGCGGUGAAUACGUUCCCGGGGCU
RNAcentral lists this ribosomal RNA (1346 nucleotides) under uncultured bacterium. Its description in RNAcentral is "partial 16S ribosomal RNA". It matches the Rfam family "Bacterial small subunit ribosomal RNA", at positions 28 to 1381 of the family's 1533-position model. The record is from RNAcentral.